Molecule: ribosomal RNA, 301 nt
Filed under: uncultured bacterium
Lineage: Bacteria
Description: partial 16S ribosomal RNA
Rfam family: Bacterial small subunit ribosomal RNA
Source: RNAcentral
CAGUCGCCACGGGAAUACGUAGGGUGCAAGCGUUAAUCGGAAUUACUGGGCGUAAAGCGUGCGCAGGCGGUUUUGUAAGACAGAUGUGAAAUCCCCGGGCUCAACCUGGGAACUGCAUUUGUGACUGUAUAGCUAGAGUACGGCAGAGGGGGAUGGAAUUCCGCGUGUAGCAGUGAAAUGCGUAGAUAUGCGGAGGAACACCGAUGGCGAAGGCAAUCCCCUGGGCCUGUACUGACGCUCAUGCACGAAAGCGUGGGGAGCAAACAGGAUUAGAUACCCCUGUAGUCCCUGUCUCUUAUAA